Molecule: long non-coding RNA, 3759 nt
Organism: Oxyura jamaicensis (ruddy duck)
Lineage: Eukaryota; Metazoa; Chordata; Aves; Anseriformes; Anatidae
Exons: 2
Source: RefSeq, a predicted model, not a curated record
GGGUGCAAGGACGGGCUCUGCGCCGAGCCGAGGUCCCACCCUGGAUGGAUGCAACCCUGUGGGGUCCCCAGGCCACCAGGAGCCGGCCUGGCUGCUGAACCCCCAGUUGUGGCUUGUGGCCACCAAGCUGAGUCGAUGCCACAGUUGUGUAGGUGCCAGGAAGAGCAGCUGUGGUAGCCCAAAGGCCACCAGAGGUGACAUGCAUGUGCGGUGACCCCAAGCCCUGGCAUGUCUUGGACCCACCACGUGUGCACCGUGCCAAGAGCUACGUACGUCUUUGGUGGCUGUAGGGGUGCACCAGAGCCAUCCAGAAACCACAGCUCAACCUCCAGAGCCUGCCUGGGCCAGGCUUAUGGGAAAAAUGAUAAAAAAAAAAAAAAAAAAAAAAAAAAGGCAGAUGGGGAAACCCAUCAGCGGGGUAGCCCAGGGUGGGAGGCGCUCAGCAGCGGUCAGGAUGAAGCUGCUGACUUGCACCCGCUCCCCCUGUGGUCGGCUGCUGCCAGAGAGCCAGCGAGGCCGGAUGCUGGCAAGGAGCUGCAAAUGAAAUGAAAAACAUCAGGUUGGAGAAGCUCCAGCUCCUCGACAAGGCGACUACUCACACACCGCUGUGCCAGAUGAGCCCCGGCCAAGAGGCGAGGGCCAGCUCCCCGCAGGGACACUGCUCCACGCCAGCCCCAGCCGUGGCCAUGGGUGGGAAGGGGGGGCUGUGAAAACACCUCUGAGCCCAGGAUUUUAUGAUUUGCUUCCAAAAAGAUUGAGGCCCUGCAGGAGGAGGUCUGGUGAUGGGCUGCAGGGCACCACAAGGUGCAGGUGACUUGAAAAGUCUACCAAAAUGUUGGGAGUCUUGGCCAAUUCAAGGUCAACGGUGAGGUCUGCUCUGGACUGGAGACAGGAGGACAUUGUCCAAGGCCGAGAUGGGUUGGCCGGGUCUCACCUCAUUGAUUCUCAACUCUGUUGUCUAGCCCAAGAGCAUCCUCUAGCCCAUUCCACUGUGAUGAUGUUGAAAUCAGGGCAGACGAAACACCAUGAAGGUCCUUGUGCUCUCAGUUGGCCCCAGCCCAACCCCUGAUGCUUGCACAGGGAGGGUGGAAGCCCUGGGACAGGUGGACAAGCUCCAUCGUUGGAUGGAGCUCCAUCCCCAAGGUCUUCAAGUCUUGGCCACCUCCAACAGUCCAAGGGUGGCUGAGAUUCCGCCAGGCUCCCUUCCAACACUGCUGGUGCCUGCAAUCUCAGCUGAGUCUGAUCCUUUUUUGAUACCCCAAAGAAGUUCCACAAGAGCUCAUGCUGGUCCCCCAGGUGGCAUGGAGGCACCAGAGGUCCCUUUACACCUUCUGCUAUGCCGUGUUGGCUUUCAAACCCAACCACAGUGAGGUGAGACCAUCCAUGUGGUUCUCAGUACUCAGAAAUGCUCUGGAAAAUCUGAACUCGCCAUCUCUCCUCCAGAUUGCAGCCAUUUAAUUCACCGUGUGAUUUUGCUAUUGAUUUACAACACCCAGGCCCUGGAUCUGGGUAUUUUCAAAUUGAUUCAAACCUGCUUUCUAUUGAUUUAGCUUAAGUCGGUAGACGAUCACUUUAUGUUAGGCAGCCAUAAGGUGCUUUUAAAUCAACCCAUCUGGACAACGCAGCGCUGGCACUGGCAGCUUAAUAGGGAGGCAUUCCCGUAAAGUGCUGGUCGUCUGGAAGGCAGCGUCUACACCAUCGCUGGGGCUCAAAGCAAAUGUAAUCGUGGUUUUUGGUUGUUUAUUUUGGUUUUCAAUUUGAGGCAAAAGCGGGAUUUGGAGACAGAGCUUUGCAGGGAGGAAGGGGUUCUGGCAGCCUUUUCAGUUUAAGGGAGUGAAGCUCAGGUCCAGUUGAAGGAUGUUUUGGGAUGGGCUGGAUGCAGCCACACCACCAUGGUCAUUCCUGGGCAGAGAGCUCUCCCCGCCACAUCAGCCUGCAUUUGGAGGGAUGUCCCCACUGGUAAAACUGUAACAGCCAAAUCCACAGGGCCAGGAGGGAAACUGAGGCACGAGAGCCCUCAUCCACCUGCUUCACGGCCAGCUGCAAUGUUUUGCAAGAUGCCACCAAAAGUCUCCAGGAGGAGAUUCAGAAGGGUUACACCACUGUCCAUGAGCACGCAUAGGAUGCUGUGGUGGCCCAGGUCACCGACUCCCCUCCUGCAACUUCCCCGUGGCUGGAAAAACCUCACGAAAUCGUCUUCAUUGUGCAGGCUUUAUUGCACUAUAAAAAGGUGUGGACCUUCCAGUCCAGCCUGGCGAAGGAGGGAGAAAAAGAUAAAUAACACACCUCCAUAAAUCACGCCGAGAUUAAUGGAGAGAGCUGAAGAUAAAGCAAAUAAGGGCACGUGCAGGAGCAGCUGCGCCGUGGCAGAGCCACUGUGUCCUUCAGGGAAGGGUGCAGGAGGCUGAUGGUGAUGGUGAUGGGAUGGUGCUGGAGAUGGGAUGGUGCUGGCGAUGCGGUGGUGCUGGUGAUGGGAUGGUGCUGGUGAUGGGAUGAUGCCAUUGGUGAUGGGAUGCCUUCAGCGAUAGGAUGGCAAUGGGUGAUCACCGACUUCUCCGUGCCUCGGUUUCCCUUCCCAGCCUCCAUCGGUAUUGGAUGUUCCUGGGGUUCUCCCAUCUUCUCCAAGGCUGCAUCCUCUGCCCCGCUGCACCAGCCCCGUCCUUCCCAUCCUAAAGCUGAGGACAGGAUCCAGGCACCCAGCUCCAUCACCGUGCAUCCCUCAGUCAAUGACCAGAUCUCAAAUACCCUUCGGCUCCUUCAAAGUGCUGGAUCCAGCUCCAGGAGCAAAUCCUCGGUAUCCUGGAUGCUCUGACCACUGAGCUGCACUCCCACAUGCGCUGAAAGAUUUAUCCCUGGGUAGUUGGCUGAGUUUCUAAUGAGAGCCAAGACGGAUGCUCCACUCACCAGUUAAUAGGCUGGGUCUUGGAUUAGUCACACUAACUGGCAUCAAUGCACUGAUUUUCUUUUUAUUGCACAUUAUAACUCAUGCCUGGGGAGGCGAGAUAGGAGUCUCACGGCACCGGGAAGAUACGGCUGCAGCCGCUUGUUCAAAGCUCCGCGCUGAGGACCUGCUGCUUCUGGCUGCUGCAAGUGGGUGGUGGGGUGCCAGGAGGGGUCCGUGCCCCGAUGUGGGGACCCUCGUGGUCUGCGGGAGAUGGGGAGAAGAAGGAGGGGGGAUUAAUAGAGAUGCUGGGUUGGGGUCUGUGUUGCAGCGUCUUCUUUUGUGUGUUCGGUGCCUUCAAUGUCCUCUUUGCCACCCCAGGAGGAAGGAUGGGUGCUGCACUGCUGACAGAGCCCUCAUUCGAUCUCAUGCAGCCUCUCCCGUUGGGUUUUGGUGUUGGGCAAGACUUUAGGUAAUAGGGGGUCCCGACAUCGUCCCCCAUCCCUGAGAACAGCAGGAUCUCGGGGCUGGGACGAGCUCGGUGCCACAACCCCCAUCUCAUUCGAUGCACUGGGGACCUGUGCCCAUUGGGUGCCCAUUGGGUGCCCAUUGCCUCGCUGCAGGGGUGCUGGGUGCAUCUCCAGCACCCAUCCUUCCGCACGGGGCUGUAAAUCUCGGCUCUACAGGGCCGGAGGAGCUGCAGCAGCCGGGCAGGAGCAGGCAGCAGCUCUGCGCUCAUGAUAAGCUGCUAUCUCCCCAUCUAGUGACCACAGCACGCAUAGCAAGGCGCGCGAUGCUACAAAUUAUUUGGGAUGCUCCCAAAUAAUUUAGGAGCUGAAGAAACACUGGACAGAGUGAGAGCUCCUGGAAAAUACCCC